This 207-nucleotide ribosomal RNA is filed under the name uncultured bacterium. RNAcentral's name for it is "partial 16S ribosomal RNA". It matches the Rfam family "Bacterial small subunit ribosomal RNA", at positions 568 to 774 of the family's 1533-position model. The record is from RNAcentral.
CGCGCAGGCGGUCGUUCAAGUCGAGUGUGAAAGCCCCCGGCUCAACUGGGGAGGGUCACUCGAUACUGAUCGACUUGAAGGCGGGAGAGGGAAGCGGAAUUCCCGGUGUAGUGGUGAAAUGCGUAGAUAUCGGGAGGAACACCAGUGGCGAAGGCGGCUUUCUGGCCCGUUCUUGACGCUGAGGCGCGAAAGCUAGGGUAGCAAACG